This 274-nucleotide ribosomal RNA is filed under the name uncultured bacterium. RNAcentral's name for it is "partial 16S ribosomal RNA". It matches the Rfam family "Bacterial small subunit ribosomal RNA", at positions 523 to 796 of the family's 1533-position model. The record is from RNAcentral.
AUACGGAGGGUGCAAGCGUUACUCGGAAUUACUGGGCGUAAAGGACGCGUAGGCGGUUUAGAAAGUCAGAUGUGAAAGCCUAUGGCUUAACCAUAGAACUGCAUCUGAAACUCCUAGACUAGAGUGAGGGAGAGGUCAGUGGAAUUAGUGGUGUAGGGGUAAAAUCCGUAGAGAUCACUAGGAAUACUCAUAGCGAAGGCGACUGACUGGAACUUUACUGACGCUGAGGCGUGAAAGCGUGGGGAGCAAACAGGAUUAGAAACCCCGGUAGUCC